RNAcentral lists this transfer RNA (73 nucleotides) under Myxococcales bacterium. RNAcentral's name for it is "tRNA-Ala". It matches the Rfam family "tRNA". Rfam says of the family: Transfer RNA (tRNA) molecules are approximately 80 nucleotides in length. Lineage: Bacteria; Pseudomonadati; Myxococcota; Myxococcia; Myxococcales. The record is from RNAcentral.
CGCGGGGUAGCGCAGUGGCCGUCGCGCCGACUUUGCAGGUCGGAGGACGCCGGUUCGAAUCCGGCCUCCGCUU